CAAGGAUUCCCCUAGUAGCGGCGAGCGAAGCGGGAAGAGCUCAAAUUUAUAAUCUGGCACCUUCGGUGUCCGAGUUGUAAUCUCUAGAAAUGUUUUCCGCGUUGGACCGCACACAAGUCUGUUGGAAUACAGCGGCAUAGUGGUGAGACCCCCGUAUAUGGUGCGGACGCCCAGCGCUUUGUGAUACAUUUUCGAAGAGUCGAGUUGUUUGGGAAUGCAGCUCAAAUUGGGUGGUAAAUUCCAUCUAAAGCUAAAUAUUGGCGAGAGACCGAUAGCGAACAAGUACCGUGAGGGAAAGAUGAAAAGCACUUUGGAAAGAGAGUUAACAGUACGUGAAAUUGUUGGAAGGGAAACGCUUGAAGUCAGACUUGCUUGCCGAGCAAUCGGUUU
Molecule: ribosomal RNA, 390 nt
Filed under: Rhodotorula mucilaginosa
Lineage: Eukaryota; Fungi; Basidiomycota; Microbotryomycetes; Sporidiobolales; Sporidiobolaceae
Description: eukaryotic LSU rRNA
Rfam family: Eukaryotic large subunit ribosomal RNA
Source: RNAcentral